UACGUAGGGUGCAAGCGUUGUCCGGAAUUAUUGGGCGUAAAGAGCUCGUAGGCGGUUUGUCGCGUCUGCUGUGAAAACCCGAGGCUCAACCCCGGGCCUGCAGUGGGUACGGGCAGACUAGAGUGCGGUAGGGGAGAUUGGAAUUCCUGGUGUAGCGGUGGAAUGCGCAGAUAUCAGGAGGAACACCAAUGGCGAAGGCAGAUCUCUGGGCCGUAACUGACGCUGAGGAGCGAAAGCAUGGGGAGCGAACAGG
RNAcentral lists this ribosomal RNA (253 nucleotides) under uncultured bacterium. RNAcentral describes it as "partial 16S ribosomal RNA". It matches the Rfam family "Bacterial small subunit ribosomal RNA", at positions 524 to 776 of the family's 1533-position model. The record is from RNAcentral.